RNA transcript from Scophthalmus maximus (turbot), 641 nucleotides. RefSeq lists it as uncharacterized. The record is from RefSeq and is a predicted model, not a curated record. NCBI's taxonomy places the organism in Eukaryota, Metazoa, Chordata, Actinopteri, Pleuronectiformes, Scophthalmidae. The transcript is spliced from 3 exons.
GGAUAUCGUCACUGAAGUAGACUCCGCCCGUAACCGGAAGCGCGGUAAAUCCUGUCAGAAAAGAGUGAAACCAACUUGAAGAACCACCGGUCAGACGGACGACGGCUUCAUGACGUCAUCGCCGCAGUUUCAACAGAACACAGAACCCCUCCAACAGCCCAUAUUUGGAUGUUGUCCGUCAUCCUGUAAUAGGACUGAUCAGUCCCUCCAGCACCGCCAGUAGUUCCUCGCUACCCUUGUUCUGGACCUGGUUCCUGCGUGUCAGCCAUAUGGCCAACUUAGCAGCACCAGACAAAUGUUCACCAGUGUGUGAUGGAGGUGACCGUCCUGGACUUCCUGGUUCCUGUGGAGAACAACAAAACUCUGUUUGUGUGGAACAUUGAGUCGUUUCUCUGUGAGGCUCAGAUCUAUGUGAGUCCUGAGACUCCGCCUCCUUCCUGUCACAUGACACCUGUGUCAGGUCAAAGAACACUGUAUUCACUGUGAAUCAAACAUCCACUGAUUUAGCAACUGCAGUACAAGUACCAGUAGUUGCUGCAGUUCCAGUUUGUAGUAUUAGUGACCUCUGACAAACUGUGACCUAUGACCACUGUGUGUGUGUGUGUGUGUGUGUGUGUGUGUGUGUGUGUGUGUGUGUGUGU